Molecule: ribosomal RNA, 500 nt
Filed under: uncultured Polaribacter sp.
Lineage: Bacteria; Pseudomonadati; Bacteroidota; Flavobacteriia; Flavobacteriales; Flavobacteriaceae
Description: bacterial SSU rRNA
Rfam family: Bacterial small subunit ribosomal RNA
Source: RNAcentral
UGUGCUUGCACAGAUGACGACCGGCGCACGGGUGCGUAACGCGUAUAGAACCUACCUUUUACAGGGGAAUAGCCUUUAGAAAUGAAGAUUAAUGCCCCAUAGUAUUGAGUAAUCGCAUGAUUAUUUAAUUAAAGAUUUAUCGGUAAAAGAUGGCUAUGCGUCCUAUUAGUUAGUUGGUAAGGUAAUGGCUUACCAAGACAUCGAUAGGUAGGGGUCCUGAGAGGGAGAUCCCCCACACUGGUACUGAGACACGGACCAGACUCCUACGGGAGGCAGCAGUGAGGAAUAUUGGGCAAUGGAGGAGACUCUGACCCAGCCAUGCCGCGUGCAGGAAGACGGCCCUAUGGGUUGUAAACUGCUUUUAUACAGGAAGAAACACUGGUAUGUAUACCAGCUUGACGGUACUGUAAGAAUAAGGACCGGCUAACUCCGUGCCAGCAGCCGCGGUAAUACGGAGGGUCCGAGCGUUAUCCGGAAUCAUUGGGUUUAAAGGGUCCGCA